RNAcentral lists this ribosomal RNA (515 nucleotides) under Fusarium proliferatum. RNAcentral describes it as "eukaryotic LSU rRNA". The stretch from base 135 to 288 matches the Rfam family "5.8S ribosomal RNA". Lineage: Eukaryota; Fungi; Ascomycota; Sordariomycetes; Hypocreales; Nectriaceae. The record is from RNAcentral.
ACUCCAACCCCUGUGACAUACCAAUUGUUGCCUCGGCGGAUCAGCCCGCUCCCGGUAAAACGGGACGGCCCGCCAGAGGACCCCUAAACUCUGUUUCUAUAUGUAACUUCUGAGUAAAACCAUAAAUAAAUCAAAACUUUCAACAACGGAUCUCUUGGUUCUGGCAUCGAUGAAGAACGCAGCAAAAUGCGAUAAGUAAUGUGAAUUGCAGAAUUCAGUGAAUCAUCGAAUCUUUGAACGCACAUUGCGCCCGCCAGUAUUCUGGCGGGCAUGCCUGUUCGAGCGUCAUUUCAACCCUCAAGCCCCCGGGUUUGGUGUUGGGGAUCGGCGAGCCCUUGCGGCAAGCCGGCCCCGAAAUCUAGUGGCGGUCUCGCUGCAGCUUCCAUUGCGUAGUAGUAAAACCCUCGCAACUGGUACGCGGCGCGGCCAAGCCGUUAAACCCCCAACUUCUGAAUGUUGACCUCGGAUCAGGUAGGAAUACCCGCUGAACUUAAGCAUAUCAAUAAGCGGAGGAA